Non-coding RNA from Podarcis lilfordi (Lilford's wall lizard), 72 nucleotides. The record is from the annotation of a GenBank genome assembly. NCBI's taxonomy places the organism in Eukaryota, Metazoa, Chordata, Lepidosauria, Squamata, Lacertidae.
GGGCUAUAGCUCAGUGGGAAGAGCAGCUUCUUGGCAUGCAGAAGGCCCCGGGUUCCAUCCCCAAUGGCAUCU